CUUAUUUUUAUUUUUAUAUUUAUUUUCGUACAGCAUGUAUAGUCUAGUGCCAUCUCUUAUUUUAGUUUGUUAAUUAAGUCAAUCUUUGCAAAAAAUUAUAUUUUUCCAGCAGGGAUUUGUUUUAUGAAUGGAUGGUUGACGCAUCAGAAUACAAGGCAGGGAGAAUGAGAGGAAGGAGAUGUGUUCUGAAGCACUGUCAAACCUGAGUCUCCCAAGUAACUACCUGCUGAUUAGAUUUCUAAAUGUCCAGUAUAUCCUGAUCAGAAGAUUUUUUUUGACAGCUGAAGAUCCAUACAGGAGGAAAAAAGUGAAGUAAUAUCUCCUGGGAUAUACAGAAAUAGAUCCCAUCAAAUACUAAAAGGUAUAUUGCGAGCAGCUGUCAUACACUGAUAAAUGAGAAUUAGAUUUAGGUUUUUACAUUUCAGAUAUUUAGUUUUAAAUUAAAUUCCCCAGUAGUGUCUCCUCUGCCUUGUUAAUUUGCAUGAUUCUGUUGCUGAACAUUUUAAUUUUAUUACUGCCAUUUAGAAAGCAGUUGACUUUUAUAACAGCUGAUGCAACAACUUUCUGAUGAGAACACGCUGCAGUUCUGCAGCAAGGUGCUAAGAACAACAGUACAAUCCUUUGAAUACCAGUUUAAAAUAAAUAAAUAAAUAAACAAAAACA
Molecule: long non-coding RNA, 663 nt
Filed under: Coturnix japonica (Japanese quail)
Lineage: Eukaryota; Metazoa; Chordata; Aves; Galliformes; Phasianidae
Description: lncRNA (ENSCJPG00005019606.1)
Source: RNAcentral